RNAcentral lists this long non-coding RNA (1374 nucleotides) under Homo sapiens (human). RNAcentral describes it as "HSALNT0221692". The record is from RNAcentral. Lineage: Eukaryota; Metazoa; Chordata; Mammalia; Primates; Hominidae.
UGGGGCUUCCCCUCAUGGAGCUUAUCGGGGCAGAGGGACAGCUGAGACCUGAGCAUUCACAAGCUGCAUGGUCAGUGCUGGCAUGGGGAUGUGCAGGGGCCAGGGCCAAAUCGCUAAUCCAUCCAGAAUCUCAGUUCCUCAUCUGUACAAUGGCACACCACUAACUGCCUUCUGGGGCCGGGGGGAUGGUCAAAUGAGAAGGCAGACAGAGACUUUCUCACAUGGCAGUGGGUACAGACAGCGUUUUCCAAAACGGGAGUCUCAAAGCUCGGUUACAAUGGAGUGGGUCAUGAAUAAUUUCUUUGUAAAAGGAAAUAGAACAGAAUAAAAAUAUUAUAUGCAUCAUAUGUAACAAGAGUAUCAUUUUGUGGAACCUACUAAUAACUCGUGUGUGUGUGUGUGUGUGUGUGUGUGUGUAUGAUGCCAGGUCUUGUGGAAAAGUUGUUUUUUUUUUUACUGUGGGUUCAGUUCAAAGAAUUUUGAAGGCUGCUGACGUUCCACGUGGUCAAGAGCAAGCAUUUGAAGUCACGCAUGUUUGGUUUGAAUCCCAGCUCCACCACUUCCUACAUCGUGCAACACUUCCUUCCCCUCACAGGCUGCUGUGAGGACUGAUGAGACAGUGCUUGUGAACAAGAUGCGCAGAACAGCACCUGAGACAUCCUAGGACCUCUAAAUAUUGGUACCUGUUCAUGUUAUCGUUGUCCAUAUCACAUGGCAAGACCUCAAAUAAGAGCUGUCCCUGAUUGAAAACAUGACAGAUGUGUGGCUACAGAGUGAAGAGGUAUAGACAGUGGAAGAAGCACCAGUCUCAGAGGCAGCAAUUUUGGAGUCUGGUCUCAGGUACGCCCUUGACUAUCUGCAAUCUUUGACAAAUUGCUUCCUUCCCUGAGCCUGUUUAUUCACCUGCAAAUUAUGGGAAGGAAGCAGAGACUGUGGUCUGUUCACCCCAUAUCUGUGAUUUCCUUCUUCCUUACUCACACAGCCCUGAUUGGGGGAGCCAUGAACUAGCUACAAAAUCUGCAUUUCCCAACCUCCCUUAUAGCUAUGGCUGGCCGCAUGACCAAUUCUGAUCAAUGAGGCAAAAGCCAAAGUUGUUCCCUUCUUGGGUGGGGUUCCAAGAAGCCUCCUUCGAAAGGAAGCUGACUCCGCUGCCAGGCACCCUUCCCCCUCCUCCUUUCUCCUACCUAGAAUGUGGCCCUGAUGUUUGGAGAGCCAAUGGCCACCUUGUGAUUAGAAGGUGACCUUGAGGGUGAAAGCCACUAGCAGAGGCACUUGGCAGAGAAGAAAGCUAGGAGACGCUAGAGUCUUUGGCGGUACCUUGGAGUUGUGGCCCCAGUUCUGAUCACCCCUGGAUUUCACAGUGCAAGACAGAAA